Molecule: ribosomal RNA, 440 nt
Filed under: uncultured bacterium
Lineage: Bacteria
Description: partial 16S ribosomal RNA
Rfam family: Bacterial small subunit ribosomal RNA
Source: RNAcentral
CCUACGGGUGGCAGCAGUGGGGAAUAUUGCACAAUGGGGGAAACCCUGAUGCAGCCACGCCGCGUGAAGGAAGAAGUAUUUCGGUAUGUAAACUUCUAUCAGCAGGGAAGAAAAGGACGGUACCUGACUAAGAAGCCCUGGAUAACUACGUGCCAGCAGCCGCGGUAAAACGUAGGGGACGAGGGUUAUCCGGAUUUACUGGGUGUAAAGCGAGCGUAGGCGGUUUAGCAAGUCAGAAGUGAAAGCCCCGGGCUCAACUCGGGAACUGCUUUUGAAACUGUUGCACUAGAUUGCAGGAGAGGUAAGUGGAAGUCCUAGUGUAGCGGUGAAAUGCGUAGAGAUCAGGAGGAACACCAGUGGCGAAGGCGGCUUACUGGACUGUAAAUGACGCUGAGGCUCGAAAGCGUGGGGAGCAAACAGGAUUAGAUACCCGUGUAGUC